Long non-coding RNA from Oncorhynchus tshawytscha (Chinook salmon), 356 nucleotides. The record is from Ensembl. NCBI's taxonomy places the organism in Eukaryota, Metazoa, Chordata, Actinopteri, Salmoniformes, Salmonidae.
UUUGGAUGAAAAUCACAUUUGGAUGAAAAUCACUAUGUCUAGUGGAUGCUGACCACUACAGAGGGAGGCACGUUUCUGAAUGUUUGGUAUCGUUGUUGUCUGCUUGGUGUCAGUGGGACCUGAGCCCUAUGACCAUGCCUCAGGACUACCUGGCAUGAUGACUUCACCCGGCACAGCCAGAAGAGGACUGGCCACCCCUCAUAGCCUGGUUCCUCUCUAGGUUUAUACCUAGGUUUUGCCCUUUCUAGGGAGCUUUUCCUAGCCACCGUGCUUCUACACCUGCAUUGCUUGCUGUUUGGGGUUUUAGGCUGGGUUUCUGUACAGCACUUUGAGAUAUCAGCUGAUGUAAGAAGGGC